This 253-nucleotide ribosomal RNA is filed under the name uncultured bacterium. Its description in RNAcentral is "partial 16S ribosomal RNA". It matches the Rfam family "Bacterial small subunit ribosomal RNA", at positions 524 to 776 of the family's 1533-position model. The record is from RNAcentral.
UACGUAGGGUGCGAGCGUUAAUCGGAAUUACUGGGCGUAAAGCGUGUGCAGGCGGUUGUGUAAGCCAGAUGUGAAAUCCCCGGGCUUAACCUGGGAAUGGCAUUUGGGACUGCAAGGCUCGAGUGCGGCAGAGGAGACUGGAAUUCCUGGUGUAGCAGUGAAAUGCGUAGAUAUCAGGAGGAACACCGAUGGCGAAGGCAGGUCUCUGGGCUGACACUGACGCUCAUGCACGAAAGCGUGGGGAGCAAACAGG